CGGGCGGUGUACUCCCAGAUACUUUCCGGUGGAUCGGUGAACAACUGCUCGCCGAGGUAGUCGCCGUCCGCGGCCGUGCCCAGAUCGGUCCCGUCACCGUAGCGCCCGAUGCCGAUCUUGCUGAUCUUGCCGUGGGCAAUCAGAAGCACGUCGUCGAUCCGGCUGCCGAACUCGGUCAGCACCUGGCCCGCCUCGUACUCCUCCUGCCCGAAGCGGUUCGCCAGUUCCUGCAGUACCUCCGGAUCCUGCAGCUCGCGCAGCGGCGGCAGCUCGGUCAACUCCUGCGGGAUCACCCGUACGUCGGCCCCGGUGGCGGAGAAGGUCAGCCGGCCGUCGCCGAUCGCGUAGCUGGUCCGCCGGUUCACCCGGUAGGCCCCGCCCUUGGUCUCCACCCAGGGCAGGAUCCGCAGCAGCCAGCGCGGCGAGAUGCCUUGCAUCUGCGGCACCGACUUGGUGGUGGACGCCAGUUGCCGCGCCGCCGCGGUCCCCAGGCUGAGCUGCGGCCUGG
Molecule: antisense RNA, 508 nt
Filed under: Kribbella flavida DSM 17836
Lineage: Bacteria; Bacillati; Actinomycetota; Actinomycetes; Propionibacteriales; Kribbellaceae
Description: Saccharopolyspora sRNA 350
Rfam family: Saccharopolyspora sRNA 350
Source: Rfam by way of RNAcentral